CCAGUAUUUCUUUCCAAGCCAAGUCAAACCAGAAUGUGUUAUCAUCAUCUAGUGUCCACAAGCCAAAAUGCAGGAUCUGGCAUUUUGACAGAAAAACCAUCAACAAACCCAGUCGAUGCUCAUCAAACUUUCCCUCUGUUAGCUGUCAAUUUUAAUUCAUUAGUCUUAGAGAUGUGUUGGUAUUUACAAUGGUAAUACAGGGCAGCCAGUCAGAAAUAAAUAAAAUCAUGACCAAAAAAAAACUCUGAACACUGAUAUUCUCUCAUGCAGCUAUAACAAGAUUUCCCUGCUAUAUCUAAUCAUUACAAAGUUGACUCACCACAUAGAAAUAUAAUCUAUAGAACAUAAUAGGGAUUCUAUUUCUAUAACUAUGGGUUCUAUGCAUUCUAUUCCUAUUUUUCUCCAUAUUCCACCAUUGUCUCAGGGAUCUCUGCUCCUCAUCUCAUUCCAUCCAGUCCAGAAGACAUUCAUAACGUUCUGUAACCUUCAGAAGCUCUAACUGCAACAGAAUAUGGUAACGCUUUCUAUAAAUAGCCUCUUUAAAAUGCAGUAGAAGCACAUGUUUAAGUUGGGAUAAACAAUCAAAAGGCCGUUAUAAAUAUACUUACAAUGCAGGUUCUACCAUAACACAAUGCAGGUUCUACCAUAAGGCACUUUUAUGCAAAUAUAAAUAAAACUGUAAUAAACAAUUGUUUACAAUCAUCAGCACUCCAAGUCAAACACUUUGAAAAAAUAAUUCACAAAGGGUUUUUUGGCUGUCCCAAAAGGAGAACGCUUUUUGGUUCCAGAUAGAACCCUUUUUGGUUCCAGGUGGAAGUCUUUCGGGUUCCAUGUUGAACCCUCUGUAGAAAGGGCCCUAAAUGGAAACAAAAGGGUUCUUCCUGGAACCAUUCAAAUGGUUCUCACAUGGCAGGGCUCUCUAACCCUGUUCCUGGAGAGCUACCGUCCUGUAGGUUUUUUCUCACCUGAUGCUAUUAAUUAGCUGGUUGAUUAUCUGAAUGUGGUUAGUUACAAUAGGGGUUGGCGUGAACCUACAAGACGGUAGCUCUCUAGGAACGGUUGGAGAGCCCUGUCCUAUGGGGACAGCCAAAGAACCCUUUAGAUUCUAGACAGCAUCUAAGAGUGUAGUAAGGGGACACGCUGCACACGCUUCCCAAUGCCUUCUAUCGUUUUCGAUUAGGAAAAAGAAAUCUUAAUCGAUAACCUUCUUGAAAGGCAUCAGGUAGAAGUAAAUGAAUCCAUAAAUACAAACAUAAUUGUACAUAUAUCUAAAAGCUGCAAUAUGUAACAUUUUGGGUGACCUGAACACAUUCACAUAGAAUUGUGAGUUAUAGAUAUGUCAUUCUCAUUGAAAGCAUGUCUAAGAAGCGCUAUAUCUGUUCUAUGUGUGCGAUUUCUAUGCUUCCUGUCCUUAAGUUUCAUUUUUGCACACCAGCUUUAAACAGCUGAAAACACAAUAUUUUUGGAAAAUACAGUCACAGUCAAAAGUUUGGACACUCCUACUCAUUCAAGGCUUUUUCUUUAUUUUUACUAUUUUCUACAUUGUAGAAUAAUAAUGAAGACAUCAAAACUAUGAAAUAACACAUAUGGAAUCAUGUAGUAACCAAAAAAGUGUUAAACAAAUCAAAAUAUAUUUUAUAUUUGAGAUUCUUCAAAGUAGCCACUCUUUGCCUUGAUGACAGCUUUGCACACUCUUGGCAUUUUCUCAACCAGCUUCAUGAGGUAGUCACCCGGAAUGUAUUUCAAUUAACAGGUGUGCCUUGUUAAAAGUUCAUUAUUGAAAUGUCUUUCCAACUGAGCCAAUCAGUUGUGCUGUGACAAGGUGGGGGGGGUAUACAGAAGAUAUCCUUAUUUGGUAGAAGACGAAGUCCAUAUUAUGGCAACAACAGCACAAAGAGAAACGACAGUCCAUCAUUAUUUUAAGACAUGAAAGUUUCAAUCCAGAAAAUUUCAAGAACUUUUCAAGUUUCUUCAAUGCGGUCACGAAAACCAUCAAGCGCUAUGAUGAAACUGGCUCUCAUGAGAAUAAGUUCAUUCGUGUUACCAGCCUCAGAAAUUGCGGCCCAAAUAAAUUCUUCACAGAGUUCAAGUAACAGACACAUCUCAACAUCAACUGUUCAGAGGAGACUGUGUGAAUCAGGACUUUAUGGUCGAAUUGCUGCAAAGAAACCACUACUAAAGGACACCUAUGAGAAGAAGAGACUUGCUUGGGCCAAGAAACAGGAGCAAUGGACCGGUGGAAAUCUGUCCUUUGAUCUGAUGAGUCCAACUGUUCGAUUUUUGGUUCCAACCACCGUGUCUUUGUGAGACACAGAGUAGGUGAACAGAUGAUCUCCGCAUGUGUGGUUCCCACCGUGAAGUGAUCUCCGCAUGUGUGGUUCCCACCGGGAAGCAUGCAGGAGGAGGUGUGAUGGUGUGGGGGUGCUUUGCUGGUGACACUGUCAGUGAUUUAUUUAGAAUUCAAGGCACUCUUAACCAGCAUGGCUACCACAGCAUUCUGCAGCGAUACGCCAUCCCAUCUGGUUUGCACUUAGUGAUUUGUUUUUCAACAGAAAAAUGACCCAACACACCUCCAGGCUGUGUAAGGGCUAUUUGAUCAAAAAGGAGAGUGAUGUAGUGCUGCAUCAGAUGACCUGGCCUCCACAAUCACCCGACCUCAAACCCAAUUAGUUGGUUUGGGAAGAGUCGGACCGCAGAGUGAAGGAAAAGCAGCAAACAAGUGCUCAGCAUAUGUGGGAAUUCCUUCAAGGAAAAGCAUUCCAGGUGAAGCUGGUUGAGAGAAUGCCAAGUGUGAAAAGCUGGCGAACUAUUAGUAUAGUAGUGUAUGUAUUUGGACAGUGAUGCAACAUUUUUACAUGUGGCUCUAUACUUCAUCAUUUCGGAUUUGAGAUCAAUUGUUCAUAUUUAUUUUUUUACCUUUAUUUAACUAGGCAAGUCAGUUAAGAACAAAUUCUUAUGUUCAAUGACGGCCUAGAAACAGUGGGUUAACUGCCUGUUCAGGGGCAGAACGACAGAUUUGUACCUUGUCAGCUCGGGGGUUUGAACUUGCAACCUUCCAUUUACUAGUCCAACGCCCCAAACACUAGGCUACCCUGCCCCAUAUGAGGUGACAGACAGAAUGUCACCUUUUAAUUGAGGGUAUUUUCAUAUCUGAUUUAAGUAUUUGGACAAAUUUGUACUUAUAGUGUACUAAAGUAGUCAAAAACUGAGUAUUUGCUCCCAGAUUUCUUGGGUUUUGGGUUUUGCCCAAUAGGAACCGAAUGGUGAUUAGAGUGAUAUUCCAUCUAAGUGAGUAGAUAAGAUGUUUGUGAACAGUUCUAUAUCAAUCCUGAUAAUGCCAUGAUUAAGAAAAAUCAUGAAUGAAUUGUGAAUAAUGAUGAGUGAGUAAAGUUAUAGAAGCUACAGCAAAGUAUGCUAGCCUCUCUACAUUACCAAUAACAAGGGAGGUUAGCAUGCUAACCUCUCAACAUUACCAAUAACAAGGGAGGAUAGCAUGCUAACCUCUCAACAUUACCAAUAACAAGGGAGGAUAGCAUGCUAACCUCUCAACAUUACCAAUAACAAGGGAGGAUAGCAUGCUAACCUCUCAACAUUACCAAUA
Molecule: long non-coding RNA, 3601 nt
Organism: Oncorhynchus tshawytscha (Chinook salmon)
Lineage: Eukaryota; Metazoa; Chordata; Actinopteri; Salmoniformes; Salmonidae
Source: Ensembl